RNAcentral lists this ribosomal RNA (523 nucleotides) under uncultured bacterium. RNAcentral describes it as "bacterial SSU rRNA". It matches the Rfam family "Bacterial small subunit ribosomal RNA", at positions 355 to 896 of the family's 1533-position model. The record is from RNAcentral.
UGAGGAAUAUUGGACAAUGGGCGCAAGCCUGAUCCAGCAAUGUCGCGUGAAUGAUGAAGGCCUUAGGGUUGUAAAGUUCUUUCGGUAGGGAAGAAAAUGACGGUACCUACAGAAGAAGCUCCGGCUAACUCCGUGCCAGCAGCCGCGGUAAUACGGAGGGAGCUAGCGUUUUUCGGAAUUACUGGGCGUAAAGGGCGCGUAGGCGGCUAAUAAAGUUGAAAGUGAAAGCCCCAGGCUUAACCUGGGAACUGCUUUCAAAACUCAUUAGCUAGAGAACGAUAGAGGAUGGUAGAAUUCCUAGUGUAGAGGUGAAAUUCUUAGAUAUUAGGAGGAAUACCGGUGGCGAAGGCGACCAUCUGGGUCGUUUCUGACGCUGAGGCGCGAAAGCGUGGGGAGCAAACAGGAUUAGAUACCCUGGUAGUCCACGCUGUAAACGAUGAGUGUUAGGUGUUGGGAUCGCAAGAUUUCGGUGCCGUAGCUAACGCGUUAAACACUCCGCCUGGGGAGUACGAUCGCAAGAUUA